UCAAAUACGACGUCUCCUAAUUCCAGGACCAACACUUAGUGCCCACUUGGAGUCGCUUGGAAGGCGUGGCCACGAAUCCUGCCCCCAUUCCCCGUCGGCCAAUCACAGGCCGAUCCGAGCAGGAUUCUGCCCAAUGAAAAAAGGUCACUGCUGCCCCUCGAACGGACCCAGGAUCUCGCUCAAAAUAGGUCAUAGAUAGAUUCAGACAGAAUACAAUUAGCCUUCAAGUCGAGAGGUCCUCCCCUCUCUUCGACUCCUCCUCAAGGAUUCCAGGUUGACUGUUCCCUGCUGAACAUAUUCCUCUACCAGGCUAGAUGGGCACGAUGUCGUGAGUUGGGAAGAUUUCACAAUCAGCAUGGCAAGAUGGCAGUCAGAUGCUAUAUAUCUUCCAAACUCUUCCUAUCCAUCAGGACCUUUGUCUCUACCAGCAGAACUUGAUAUAAGAUCCACUGUUGCACCUCCUAUAUAUAGGGUAAGUUUGUAAACAAAAUACACCCUCUUGUAAAUUGUACAUUAAUCAGGACACUUGUAAACUAUAUUUAAUUUCUUUAUUGGCUUGAAUCAUCCUGAUUCUUCAAAUAAACUUCUGCCUUUAGCUAGUUCAACCUCUCCUCAUGUUAUACAUAUUCUCUAACAAAAUAAAUCUGUCAGUGUUUAAGUUUAUUUUACAUAUGCUAGCGAAACCUGGCAAUGGAAAUUCCUGAUAUGUGUGUAUAACUCUUGAAGAAUAAGAUAAAUUCUGUUAAUCAAACUUGAACAAACAAUAAUAUUAAUUUUGAAAUAUCCUACUCUCCCAUAACUUCCCAAGUUAAGGAAUGCAAUUCCGUCAUCUAUUUGAUCUA
This 842-nucleotide long non-coding RNA is filed under the name Penaeus japonicus. RNAcentral's name for it is "uncharacterized LOC122246775". Lineage: Eukaryota; Metazoa; Arthropoda; Malacostraca; Decapoda; Penaeidae. The record is from RNAcentral.